AUGGCACACCUCCAUGAAGCGUCUGAUUCAGUUUUCCCUUCUACUCGGCCAAACACGUAUUCCCAUGAGGUUAUAGAAUGUGCAAUUCAAAUUUGGUCCACGCUCAUUCUCAGUGAUCAUGUUGUGCAUGAUCACACAAGCAGUCAUUAUAUACCAAAGGUUCCCCUGAUCCCAAAAUCUAGCCGGUCCUCGCACAAUAGCAAAUUGAGAUUGCAAAAUCCCAAAAGCCCUCUACACAUCUUUUCUAGCCGCCGCUUGAGCAUUCUGAAAAUAAAGUUCUUUCUUACCUUGGGGGCUUGA
This 300-nucleotide ribosomal RNA is filed under the name Triticum aestivum (bread wheat). RNAcentral describes it as "partial small subunit ribosomal RNA". The record is from RNAcentral. Lineage: Eukaryota; Viridiplantae; Streptophyta; Magnoliopsida; Poales; Poaceae.